Long non-coding RNA from Sphaeramia orbicularis (orbiculate cardinalfish), 601 nucleotides. RefSeq lists it as uncharacterized. Lineage: Eukaryota; Metazoa; Chordata; Actinopteri; Kurtiformes; Apogonidae. The record is from RefSeq and is a predicted model, not a curated record. The transcript is spliced from 3 exons.
ACAACAGCCGCUCAGUCCGGACCAACACACACCGUCACCGCGUGUGGGCAGGAUUUUACCGGGAUCUACGGGUUUGCACCGGGUUUCUGACCAUCUGGAUAUUUACGGUCUGACUCCGGUAAAGUUCAGACACGUCUCACCGCUUCUCAAACUCAAACGGCAGCUGAUUCAGACGCGGUGGAUUAUCGGUGGAUGCUCCGUGGAUGCUCGCCGGUGUACGUGUCCGCACCGGGGCUGUCAUCGGCGGAGCGGCGCCUUCUGACGCGCAAAAGCGAAACGAGAUCCAGGCGUCUCCGUGAGUGCGACGACGAAGAGGGAAAUGGAACCGACCGAUUGGAUUUAAUGUGGGAGUGAUACCGGCUGGAGUACCGGACGGACAGACCGACGGAAACACGGACGGAAGCAGCGACAGAAACAGACAGACACACCGACUGAAACACCGACUACACCAGGAAUGGCCCUGGACGUCCGUCAACAGUCGGCUGUGUUCGUCAUAUCAGCUGAUACCAGCGCCUCUGUUUCUGUUCCUGUCUGCGUGGGAGUGGGAGAAGUGGAGGCUGUGAUCAGUCAACCUGUGGCACAGAGACAGCACCCAGAAGGU